RNAcentral lists this ribosomal RNA (243 nucleotides) under uncultured eukaryote. RNAcentral's name for it is "partial small subunit ribosomal RNA". It matches the Rfam family "Eukaryotic small subunit ribosomal RNA", at positions 463 to 706 of the family's 1831-position model. The record is from RNAcentral.
GGUAGUGACAAAAUAUAACAAUGCCGGGCCUUUUCAGGUCUGGCAAUUGGAAUGAGUACAAUUUAAAUACCUUAACGAGGAUCACUGGAGGGCAAGUCUGGUGCCAGCAGCCGCGGUAAUUCCAGCUCCAGUAGCGUAUAUUAAAGUUGUUGCAGUUAAAAAGCUCGUAUUUGGAUUUCUGGCGUGGUGCGCCCGGCCCGCCGCCGCUAAGGCGGCGAGUGCCGGCGCGCGCCUGCCAUCCUU